Molecule: ribosomal RNA, 237 nt
Filed under: uncultured bacterium
Lineage: Bacteria
Description: partial 16S ribosomal RNA
Rfam family: Bacterial small subunit ribosomal RNA
Source: RNAcentral
GGCGGACGGGUGAGUAACGCGUGGGUAACCUGCCUCAUACAGGGGGAUAACAGUUGGAAACGGCUGCUAAUACCGCAUAAGCGCACAGUACCGCAUGGUACGGUGUGAAAAACUCCGGUGGUAUGAGAUGGACCCGCGUCUGAUUAGGUAGUUGGUGGGGUAACGGCCUACCAAGCCGACGAUCAGUAGCCGACCUGAGAGGGUGACCGGCCACAUUGGGACUGAGACACGGCCCAA